RNAcentral lists this ribosomal RNA (465 nucleotides) under uncultured bacterium. RNAcentral's name for it is "bacterial SSU rRNA". It matches the Rfam family "Bacterial small subunit ribosomal RNA", at positions 331 to 793 of the family's 1533-position model. The record is from RNAcentral.
CCAGACUCCUACGGGAGGCAGCAGUGAGGAAUAUUGGUCAAUGGGCGGAAGCCUGAACCAGCCAAGUCGCGUGAGGGAAGAAGGCCCUGCGGGUCGCAGACCUCUUUGGACGGGGAGCAAGGCCGCCGACGUGUCGGCGGAAGGAGAGUACCCGUAGAACAAGCAUCGGCUAACUCCGUGCCAGCAGCCGCGGUAAUACGGAGGAUGCGAGCGUUAUCCGGAUUUAUUGGGUUUAAAGGGUGCGCAGGCGGCGCGGCAGGCGGGCGGGGAAAGGGGGGGGCUAAACCCCGCCCGGCCGUGGGAACUGCCGGGCUAGAGUGGGCGAGAAGUGCGCGGAAUGCGUGGGGUAGCGGUGAAAUGCAUAGAUAUCACGCAGAACUCCGAUUGCGAAGGCAGCGCAACGGCGCCCUACUGACGCUCAGGCACGAAAGCGUGGGUAUCGAACAGGAUUAGAUACCCCGGUAC